This 533-nucleotide long non-coding RNA is filed under the name Phoenix dactylifera (date palm). RNAcentral's name for it is "long non-coding RNA (PDAC_LNC005886)". The record is from RNAcentral. Lineage: Eukaryota; Viridiplantae; Streptophyta; Magnoliopsida; Arecales; Arecaceae.
GAAUGUUUACAACUUUACAUCCAAAGCAUGGCAUGGCUGUCGCGCUCGUCAUUUCUUUUAUUGUGUUUUGAUGCCAUUAUUUUUGUUAUCUUUCUGCAACUAUUACUUAUUUCUCAUAAUUGUUUAUGAGAGAUGUAUUUAAGCCAUUUUUUGAAAGUUCAACGGAGCUUCUUGUGUCGAUGCUCAUUUAUUCCUCGACAUAUUCUGUCAAAUCCUGAAAAAGAAUAAGAAAAAAAAUCAUAUCUGAAGACUGGCUUCUUGGUCUUUAAAAAAGAAAAUUGCAUUUCCUUGUUAUGUAGUUAAUUAUUCUUACUGAUCUGGUGUCUAGGAUCUGAGCAGUUGCAGUUAUGCUGCAAAAUUUUAAGGAUCUUCAAUUCCAAGCAUAUGCCAAUGAUGCAUAUGUGCUGAACUUUCUUGGCCUAUUGCAUGCCUUUGUAGUUUGUCCUGUUUGGUGAAUCCAAGGCUACAUAGAGAAUAUAUUGCCCUCUCUCAUUUUUUUUCAAAUUUUUGCUUGGGCAUGAUAAUUACUUGUC